GAAGUGAAAUGCUGUAAUGCCGAUGGUAGUGUGGGGUCUCCCCAUGUGAGAGUAGGACACCGCCGGAU
Molecule: ribosomal RNA, 68 nt
Filed under: Testudinibacter aquarius
Lineage: Bacteria; Pseudomonadati; Pseudomonadota; Gammaproteobacteria; Pasteurellales; Pasteurellaceae
Source: RNAcentral